AAUACAGAGGGUGCGAGCGUUAAUCGGAAUUACUGGGCGUAAAGCGUGCGUAGAAACCUCGUUAAGUCAGGUGUGAAAUCCCGGAGCUCAACUUCGGAACUGCACCUGAUACUGAAACGCUCGAGUGUGGUAGAGGGUAGUGGAAUUCCCGGUGUAAAACUGAAAUGCGUAGAUAUCGGGAGGAACACCAGUGGCGAAGAAACCUACCUGGACCAACACUGACGCUGAGGCACGAAAGCGUGGGGAGCAAACAGGAUUAGAUACCCUGGUAGUCCACGCCCUAAACGAUGGACACUAGCCGUUGGGGAGAUUGAACUCCUUAGUGGCGAAGCUAACGCAUUAAGUGUCCCGCCUGGGGAGUACGGCCGCAAGGUU
This 375-nucleotide ribosomal RNA is filed under the name uncultured Gammaproteobacteria bacterium. Its description in RNAcentral is "bacterial SSU rRNA". It matches the Rfam family "Bacterial small subunit ribosomal RNA", at positions 522 to 895 of the family's 1533-position model. The record is from RNAcentral. Lineage: Bacteria; Pseudomonadati; Pseudomonadota; Gammaproteobacteria.